RNAcentral lists this ribosomal RNA (253 nucleotides) under uncultured bacterium. RNAcentral's name for it is "partial 16S ribosomal RNA". It matches the Rfam family "Bacterial small subunit ribosomal RNA", at positions 524 to 776 of the family's 1533-position model. The record is from RNAcentral.
UACGUAGGGGGCAAGCGUUGUCCGGAAUUAUUGGGCGUAAAGCGCGUGUAGGCGGCUCGGCAAGUCUGCUGUGAAAGUCCAGGGCUCAACCCUGGAAUGCCGGUGGAUACUGUCGAGCUCGAGUCCGGAAGAGGCGAGUGGAAUUCCUGGUGUAGCGGUGGAAUGCGUAGAGAUCGGGAAGAACACCCGUGGCGAAGGCGGCCGGCUGGGCCGGAUCCGACGCUGAGGCGCGAAAGCGUGGGGAGCAAACAGG